GGGCGGAGGCAGAGACAGAGGCGCUUUGAAAGAUCCUUUUCUGUGGGUACACAGCCCUUCUACGGCUCACGCCUGGUUUUGGUGAAGCUGUAUCAAAGGUUCCUGUUUUCUAGCAACAGCUGUCCCUCCAUUUUGGAGGCCUGAGCACCCACUUCCUGUAUCUGGGGAAUGAGCCCCACCACCAGAGAGCCAGAAGCUUAAGUGAAAAAUGGUACAUGUUAGAAGACAUGAAACAAGAAAAAAUUCUAAAACCCAAGCACCUGAGCAAAAAUCUCGAGUUGAUUGGCGCCGGACUAAAAGAAGUAUCUCACAGUUAUUUGAUAGUGAUGAAGAGCUUGAUAGUAAUGAGGAACUUGACAGCGAUGAAGAGCAUGAUAGUGGGGAAAGUACUGACAGCGAUGAAGAGCUUGAUAUUAGCAAAAAGUCUGGUAUUAAUGAACUACCAGAAAAGGAAACAGACCUUAAAUUAACCAACAUUGAAAGUCAGGGAAGCAACAGUAAACAUCUUAACACCAGUAGUAGUUCAGCAGAUGAAGAAAAAAUGAAGAAAACCAAACAUAUUGACUUACCAGAUGAUGAAGCUCACCCAGGUCAAACAGAGGGUCAUCACAACAGACACACUGGGCAAAUCCUAGAGGAGGAUAUGGAAGAUGAAUACAUCAAGCCAGGAAAAAGAAAACGGCUGUCCUCUGUAAUGUAUGACAGUGAUGAGAGCGAUGACAGUGAUAUCCUAGUUAGAAAAGCAAGUGCUAAACACCCACGCAGGGUGGUGGAGGAUGAAUGUUCUUCACUGGAAAUGGAGCAAGAGACUCCUGAGAAAUCAUCAGCUGCUCGAAAGCGAGAGUACCACCAGAAGCUACAGGAACUCUCCGAAAGACAGAGGCGCAAUAGUGGUAGAAGUUUUGAGGACUCUGAAAAGGACUCUUGUUCAAGCACUGAUGAUGAGGAUGAAGAUGAGGAUGAGGAUGAGGAUGAUUACACAGAUGAUGAAAAUGGAGAUGAUUACAUGAAUGAUGAUUUUGUAGUGCCAGAUGAGGAAGGCGACGAAGAGAAUAAAAAUCAACAAGGAGAAAAUCUGACUACAUCACAACUGAAAUUAGUAAAACAGAAUUCUCUUUGGAAAGUGAACACAAAGACUGGAAGAGACAGCCUGAGACUCCUCCUCCAACACUUAGCUACAUGACCUUAGGAAAACUUCCAUCAUCUUUCAGUUACGCCAGCUAAAAAUAAACUAAGGGAAGUAUCUCUUCUAUUAGCCGUUUAGAAAUAAGGCAGAGCACAUAAGUGUUUUGAGUGAUGCCUGGUAUUUACUUCCUCAGCUGUGUUAUUUUUUUCAGUUGGAGAUACCAGAACAUUAUUCCAGCACUGCCCACCCAUUCACUCAAGUACAGUGAAACCAGAACCUUCUUUCUAGAGGGAGUCUUAUGAGCAUGGCUAGGAGAAAGAUAGUGUAGCUAGGAAAUAAAACACCCAGGAAAUGGUGGACCUCUGUUCUUGCCUUUCCUCUUAUCCUUUCCAGAGCCUUUGAAAUGUUGCUGCAGCUCUUAAAAUUUCAUGGCCAAUGAAUAACACUGGCCAUUAGCACUUUCAAGAUUAGCAUGUUCAGUGAGGGACAGAAAGCUCCAUUUCAUUUGCCUGAUGAAUAAACAUAGUCCCAAAGUGGGUGAGUUCAACAUUUUUCCAACAUGCCUGUUAAUAAUCCACAGAAGAGCUUUCCCUUAAUAUAAUUUGAAAGAGUUAGAAGGAGUUUGGAUGAAUUUAACUCAAAAUUAUUUACCUAGUCUAGUCAAGAGGGGAAAUUCUUUUGAAGUAUUACUGAAUUUUACUUUGUUAGAAGCUACUGAUGUGUGUGUGUGUGUGUGUGUGUAUACAGCCUUCCUCUUGGAAUUUUCAAUGGUGAUAGACCCUCUAAAGUCUAAGACCCAGUCCAAAGUACUUUAGCAGCUCCAUGGAAGUAGAGACUUGAAAUUUCCCUGAAGGCCUCAAAAAACCUUACAUAGUCCUAUCAGCAAACAGAAGUGCAACAGCCUCUCCAUAUUCAAUCCAUUUUGUCAGCUGGAAGAAAAACCCCAAUAUGUUCAUGAUUUCUAAAGGUAUAACCUACUUUUUUAUUCAGGCCCUAGCUAAACAUCUUCCACAUUUCCAGACAUAGUUCACAGGCAUCUCCAGCAGGGAGAGUGUUCUUUGAUGACCAUUUGAAUCAUGGGCGGAAGAAUUUUCUAGAGAACAUUUCCAUGGCCCAUAGUAAAGUCUAGCACCAGAGUAACAGGAACAGCAGUGCUGCCUGACCUGUCACCAUGAUGAACUCAUGUCUGAGGCUGGGUUACAGAGGAUAUAAUGGCAUUAUAUGCAUAGCAUGGGAAGGAGAAGGCGUAGCUCUUAAAGCAGUGUGGAAAAUCCUGCAUCUGUGACAGGGUGAAGGAGAAUAGGGUUGUCAUGCCCACUGAGGUUUCUGUGAGUAGCAGUUUCCUGGACCAUGUCAUAUAUAUCAUAGACUAAAGCAUAUUAAACAGUCCACUUGGGAAGCUCUCUUGCCUUUUUCAUUCACUGUAGUAGAUAAUUAAUUUCAAGUGGACAUGGAUUAUUUUGAUUUUUCACAGUGUAUCUCUCUGUUGUCUGAAGAAUUUUCCCUUGAUAAGUCUGGGACCAUUUUAGAUUCAGGAUGAGUGAACUUUGUGAAACUUGUACCAGUUUCUUAGCAGGGAGCCUGUUGUAGUCACUGUACAGUGCUAUUUGGUAUGUCCUAAUAAUUGCUUUAAAUUAAUUUCAGAUUCUUUUAGUGACCAUUAUACUCACUUUGAAAUAGUUGUGAAGGCUCUUCUGAUCAAUGCUUUUGAUGGAUCUUUUCUGGAAAGUUUGUAUGAUGGCACCAGGAAGAAAUCCUAUGCACAAG
This is an RNA transcript of Grammomys surdaster, 2893 nucleotides long. It is a transcript of the gene named coiled-coil domain containing 82, with no coding region annotated. The transcript is spliced from 6 exons. The record is from RefSeq and is a predicted model, not a curated record. Lineage: Eukaryota; Metazoa; Chordata; Mammalia; Rodentia; Muridae.